This 240-nucleotide ribosomal RNA is filed under the name Triticum aestivum (bread wheat). RNAcentral describes it as "partial small subunit ribosomal RNA". The record is from RNAcentral. Lineage: Eukaryota; Viridiplantae; Streptophyta; Magnoliopsida; Poales; Poaceae.
AUGGUCGACCACAUCUUGCAACAAUGUGUAUUCUCAAGACAAGUGUGGUACACAUGCAUGACCAGGAUGGGAUUGAGAGUGGAGCUUUGCCCAACAUAUGAAUCCCAAUUGGUGCAAUGGUGGACGGAAGCUAGAAAGCGCAUACAUAAGCAAACUCGGAAAGGAUUUGACACAUUCGUGAUGCUCAUCUGCUGGACGCUUUGGAAACAGAGGAACGCGAGGGUGUUCGGAUCGAACUAA